UGGGUAACCUUUUGUGAGUUUAACGAGACAUCGCCGAAGUAAACACGAUGAACAGCCUGAAACGGCGCCAGUUACCUCAAAGAAAAAGAAAUCAAAGAACAAAAUGUCAACAAUUGAAAUGCCUGUUAUACAAAAAUUGUGUAGGGAAAUUGGGGAGAAAAUGUGGGAAGAAAAACUUUGACCUGACAAAAUAAUAGGCAAUUGUAUCAAGCUUGAAACCUAGUGAGGAAUUUGUGAAUUUCAUUAAUGAUGCGUUCUCCAUUUUUAUCGAAAGGGAAACCAGGGUACGUCCUUAGCCAGUUUCUGUGCAGAGAUCUUGAAGAAUUGGAGAAAAUUAUUUCCAGCCUGUGACAAUCAACCUG
Paramuricea clavata is the source of this 362-nucleotide non-coding RNA. The record is from the annotation of a GenBank genome assembly. Lineage: Eukaryota; Metazoa; Cnidaria; Anthozoa; Malacalcyonacea; Plexauridae.